CGUAACAAGGUUUCCGUAGGUGAACCUGCGGAANGAUCAUUACCUAGAGUUUGUAGACUUCGGUCUGCUACCUCUUACCCAUGUCUUUUGAGUACCUUCGUUUCCUCGGCGGGUCCGCCCGCCGAUUGGACAACAUUCAAACCCUUUGCAGUUGCAAUCAGCGUCUGAAAAAACAUAAUAGUUACAACUUUCAACAACGGAUCUCUUGGUUCUGGCAUCGAUGAAGAACGCAGCGAAAUGCGAUAAGUAGUGUGAAUUGCAGAAUUCAGUGAAUCAUCGAAUCUUUGAACGCACAUUGCGCCCCUUGGUAUUCCAUGGGGCAUGCCUGUUCGAGCGUCAUUUGUACCUUCAAGCUCUGCUUGGUGUUGGGUGUUUGUCUCGCCUCUGCGUGUAGACUCGCCUUAAAACAAUUGGCAGCCGGCGUAUUGAUUUCGGAGCGCAGUACAUCUCGCGCUUUGCACUCAUAACGACGACGUCCAAAAGUACGUUUUUACACUCUUGACCUCGGAUCAGGUAGGGAUACCCGCUGAACUUAAGCAUAUCA
RNAcentral lists this ribosomal RNA (544 nucleotides) under uncultured fungus. RNAcentral describes it as "eukaryotic LSU rRNA". The stretch from base 186 to 339 matches the Rfam family "5.8S ribosomal RNA". Lineage: Eukaryota; Fungi. The record is from RNAcentral.